This 2245-nucleotide long non-coding RNA is filed under the name Homo sapiens (human). RNAcentral describes it as "non-protein coding ISPD-AS1:1". The record is from RNAcentral. Lineage: Eukaryota; Metazoa; Chordata; Mammalia; Primates; Hominidae.
CAUAUGCUAAGUGAAAAAAGUGAGACUCAACUCAGUAAGUUACACAUGGUUUCAAUGCAUUUAUAUGACAUUGUUGAAAAGCCAAAACUAUAAUGACAGAAGAGAAAUCAAAAAUUUAGCUGAAACUGACAUGCAUGGCUGCAUUUUAAAUCAUCAUAAAAUUUUAUUCAGGAAGCAAAAUACUGGAAUCCAUAUAGCAACAAAUCUACAUAAAGAAUGUAGGUGUAUGUUGCUAUCAACUUCCCUGUUAGAACUGCUUUUACUGUAUCCCAUAGAUUUUGGUAUGUUAGGUUUCCAUUUGUUAGUCUCAAGGAAUUUUUUAAUUAUAACUUUAAAUUCUUCAUUGACCCUCUGGUUGGUCAGGAGGAUGUUUAAUUUCCAUGUAUUUGUGAAUUCUCCAAAGUCCUCCAGUUCCAAAGCUCAUAUUUAUAAGAAUACAAAAACAUCCAUCACCUAAGAUAAAAUUCACAAUGUCUAAUAGCUUAAAUACCAAACCUUUACACAUGCAGGAUAAAGGUACUAAUAACUGUGGCAAACUAGGUCAUUUCAGAUUGAAAAUCUAUAUCAAAAAUCAGCAAAGUAUGGGUCAAGCCUGGUCUGCUGCCUAUUUUGUAAUACAGUAUUCCUGGAAUACAGCCAUACCCAUUCUUUUACAUAUUGUCUAUGACUGCUUUGACAUGAAAACAGCAGAGUUGAUAGUUGUGACAAAGACUGUGUAGACAGGCCACAAAGCCUAAAAUAUUUACUAUCUGUUUCUUUACAGGAAAAAAUUGCCUAUUCCUAAAGUAAAAGAAGGUAUCUUAGAGCCAGGCAAAGAAAGGGCUUGAGUUACUUCUUUAAAAUGAGAGCAUUCUACUAAAUGAUUUUCAAGAUCCUUUUCCCUUGUAACAAAAUAGGUUUGUACUAUUCGAAAAGGGCAAGCAUUGGCAUUACUCAUGAACAUUAUGUGAUACAGUGAAAUGAUCACUAGGCUUAAUUUUGAACUGGGGAUAAUGCUAUCUGUGAUAAUCAACUCUCAGGGUUGCUCUGAAGACUAAAGCCCUGGGAUCAUUCAUUUUAAAAGAAAAGAACGGUGACUCAUCAUUUCAAGCUUUUCAGUAAGUGUCUGUUAUUACUAACAUUAACCUAAUUAUACUAAUAAUAUACAUUAGCAGGCCACAUUUGCUGGGAGGGCUCUGGAAAUUAUAAAUGUAUUUGAAGUUCCAUCUCAUAUCAAUGGUAAGAGCAAGAAACACAAGCUCAUAGUUGGAUUUUUGAUAGUUGAGGAAACAACUCAGAACUCAGUCAUUCUAUAAAUACAUUAACUAAGAAAAUUUAAAUCUAGAGGCCUCUCACUAUAUUCUCGAAGUGGAAAUACUACUCAGUAGGCAGAGGAGUCAUGCUGGUGACUUUAGCCUGUCCUACUGUUCCCAAAUAAGUUUUUCAGUAUUGACUCUGGGACUACCUUGACAACACUUGCUACAUUCCACCUUAGCAAGUAAAAGUAGAAUUAAGCUUAAGUAUUGAGCAUUUAAGUAAAAUUAAGUUCCAUAAUUCCAUAAAACAAAAUCUCUGGUACCCAGAAAAUUGAAUCAUAUUAUACUUUUCAAAAGUAUCACACUUAAACUUAUUGCUAACAGGAUUCAAGCCAAAAAAAUCUGAAUCUAGAAGUUUCUGGCACUGAUUCCAUUAGCUUUCUAUACUUUCCAUACAAGAACAGUUCAGGCUUUCCAAAACCUGCAAAAGUAAUCUAUUUUUAGGUGGCUACAGAUCUUAAUCCUAAGGCAACAGCAUAUAAGCCUGGUAAUAUUCUUACCAUCUUCCUGUCUGCCAAUAAUUCAACCAAUAGAAAAGGUUUUUUUCUGUUUUUAUUUUUCAGAAUAUGAAGUAUUACAGUAAAAAGGAUUUCACUAAAAAAAAUCAUCUACCAUACAGACACUAUAGAAGGCUUGGAAAAGACAUUGUAAUAUAAAAGAUAUAUUUUAAAUUGUGUCUAUCCCUGGAACUCUAUUAAAAUUCAAUAUUAAGAAAGUCACAAAGGAGUCUAACUUGCCUUUCAAAGUAAGCUUUAAGAGCUUUCGUGCGCGCGCACACACACACACACACACACAAACUUUUGAAUAUGAAUAAAAUCUUUUUAAUUAUACUUUGCCAAAAAAUCUGGGAUCUUCAUCUGCCUAUUCAACCUUAAAAAACAAACCACAAAGUUCCCUCUCUAAUCUUCCGUAUCUUACUAUCAUUCGCCAAGUUUUAUGAGACAUAAAAU